RNAcentral lists this ribosomal RNA (439 nucleotides) under Monodonta labio. Its description in RNAcentral is "partial 16S rRNA". It matches the Rfam family "Bacterial large subunit ribosomal RNA", at positions 1940 to 2540 of the family's 2925-position model. Lineage: Eukaryota; Metazoa; Mollusca; Gastropoda; Trochida; Trochidae. The record is from RNAcentral.
CCCUAACCGUGCAAAGGUAGCAUAAUCAUUUGCCUUUUAAUUGAAGGCUUGUAUGAAUGGUUUGACGAGGGCUAAGCUGUCUCUUUUGAAAUAUUUAGAAAUUAACUUUUAGGUGAAGAGGCCUAAAUUUGGCUGAGGGACAAGAAGACCCUGUUGAGCUUUAGUUUUAUGCCGAAUGGGUUAUUAUGAUAUUUGUAAUAAGCGUGGACCUAGGUGUAAUGGGAUUUCAGUAUGAAUCUUUAGUUGGGGCGACUGAGGAACAGUUAGAGCUUCCUUUGGCUUUGAAGGGCGAGUGUGUGCCCAAAAUGGUAUAUUCUUGCAGGUUGUUUUGAUCCAGUAAGAUACUGAUUAAAGGAAAAAGUUACCACAGGGAUAACAGCGUAAUCUUUCUGGAGAGAUCUUAUCGAAAGGAGGGUUUGCGACCUCGAUGUUGGACUAA